Molecule: ribosomal RNA, 473 nt
Filed under: uncultured bacterium
Lineage: Bacteria
Description: bacterial SSU rRNA
Rfam family: Bacterial small subunit ribosomal RNA
Source: RNAcentral
AGAGUUUGAUCAUGGCUCAGGAUGAACGCUGGGCGGCGUGCCUAACACAUGCAAGUUGAGCGAUUUACUUCGGUAAAGAGCGGCGGACGGGUGAGUAACGCGUGGGUAACCUGCCCUGUACACACGGAUAACACACCGAAAGGUAUGCUAAUACGAGAUAAUAUGCUUUUAUCACAUGGUAGAAGCAUCAAAGCUUUUGCGGUACAGGAUGGACCCGCGUCUGAUUAGCUAGUUGGUAAGGUAACGGCUUACCAAGGCGACGAUCAGUAGCCGACCUGAGAGGGUGAUCGGCCACAUUGGAACUGAGACACGGUCCAAACUCCUACGGGAGGCAGCAGUGGGGAAUAUUGCACAAUGGGCGAAAGCCUGAUGCAGCAACGCCGCGUGAGCGAUGAAGGCCUUCGGGUCGUAAAGCUCUGUCCUCAAGGAAGAUAAUGACGGUACUUGAGGAGGAAGCCCCGGCUAACUACGUG